Molecule: long non-coding RNA, 772 nt
Filed under: Bos indicus x Bos taurus (hybrid cattle)
Lineage: Eukaryota; Metazoa; Chordata; Mammalia; Artiodactyla; Bovidae
Description: lncRNA (ENSBIXG00000004623.1)
Source: RNAcentral
CCUUGGCCGGCUGGAAUGUCACAGAAACCAAUGUCAAAUAAAUACAGGGCUUGCACUCCAUGUUGCAAAAAUAAGCAUGUCCAUUUGCUUGAAAGAAAAAAAAAAAAGUCUUUCAGAUGAGGGAACAUUUUCCAGUCAAUCACACAGCAGCAAAGUCAUCCUGUUGAAUUUGUGACUCACAGGCUCUCUGUGUCAAUAGACAGAGAGUGAGCCCAGCGUUAUGACUUCAGUGGGAGAUGAAGCAGAAGCUGGGAUGAGGCAGGGCUGGCUUUAAAGCAGAGCCCUGGGCUCUGACAAUAAAUAGCGGAGGAAAGUCUGACCACUCACAGGGAGCUCUUGAGGGAGGCCACCCUGGUCCGAAGUGCAUCUUACUUCUAACGUCUGCGUGGGCUCUAGCAAAGGAUCUAGCGGAAAAUACGGUUCAGGGAGUGUGUGAAGCCUGGGCCAACGCAGAGAACGAAGAGAAGACGUGGAGGUUUGUACACGCUUUCCAACCACCACCCGCUCACUCCAGCCCACUCUCCUGGGACCUGGGGAGAGGGAAAAAUUGGGGCAGAUCCUGAUAAAAGUUCAGUGAACAGACCAGUAUUUGCUCCUUAACCUCAGCGGUGUAGGAGAGCUUGGUUACUGCACAUUCUCGCCAACACCGGGUAUCACGUGACUUUCAAUUUUAGCAGUUUUCCUGAGUCCAGGGAUGUCGCUUGAGGGUUUUAAUUUGCAUUUACGUGAUGCACCUUUUCAUAUGUCUAUUAGCCAUUUGGCCAUAGUGUGU